UGAGUACGAGAUGCUACGGCAUUGAAGCAGUCUAUGUCAUACUUCCAAGAAAAGCUUGCACUGUCAUAAACAAAUAAUGCCUGUACCAUAACCGACACAGGUGGGUAGGUAGAGUAUACUAAGGGGCGCGAGAUAACUCUCUCUAAGGAACUCGGCAAAAUGACUCCGUAACUUCGGGAGAAGGAGUGCCUCAUUUAUAAGGUUGCAAUAACAAGAUCCAAGCAACUGUUUAUCAAAAACACAGGUCUCCGCUAAGUCGUAAGACGAUGUAUGGGGGCUGACGCCUGCCCAGUGCCAGAAGGUUAAAGAAGUUGGUUAGCAUUCGCGAAGCUGAUAACUGAAGCCCUGGUGAACGGCGGCCGUAACGAUAACGGUCCUAAGGUAGCGAAAUUCCUUGUCGGGUAAGUUCCGACCCGCACGAAAGGCGUAAUGAUUUGGAUACUGUCUCGGAGAGGGGCUCGGUGAAAUGGACUUGUCUGUAAGAUGCGGACUACCUGCACCAGGACAGAAAGACCCUAUGAAGCUUUACUGUAACUUGAAAUUGAAAUAGGACUUUAUUUGCGCAGUAUAGGUGGGAGGCGUUGAAGAUAUUCUUGCGGGAGUAUUUGAGCCAUCAGUGAGAUACCACUCUUGUAAUGUUAGAUUUCUAACUUUGUAUCAUUAUCUGGUCAAAGAACAGUUUCAGGCGGGCAGUUUGACUGGGGCGGUCGCCUCCCAAACGGUAACGGAGGCGCACAAAGGUUUCCUCUGAACGGGUAGAAAUCGUAUCUAGAGUGUAAAGGCAUAAGGAAGCUUGACUGUGAGACCUACAAGUCGAGCAGGGACGAAAGUCGGUCUUAGUGAUCUGACGGUGCUGAGUGGAAAGGCCGUCACUCAACGGAUAAAAGUUACUCUAAGGAUAACAGGCUGAUCUCCCCCAAGAGUUCACAUCGACGGGGAGGUUUGGCACCUCGAUGUCGGCUCAUCGCAUCCUGGGGCGGUAGUACGUCCCAAGGGUUGGGCUGUUCGCCCAUGAAAGCGGUACGCGAGCUGGGUUCAGAACGUCGUGAGACAGUUCGGUCCAUAUCCGGUGUAGGCGUUAGAAUAUUGAGAGGAGCCUUCUUAAGUACGAGAGGACCGAGAAGGAUAUACCUCUGGUGUACCAGUUAUCGUUCCAACGGUAAACGCUGGGUAGCUAUGUAUGGAGAGGAUAACCGCUGAAAGCAUCUAAGUGGGAAGCCCACCUCAAGAUAAG
This 1234-nucleotide ribosomal RNA is filed under the name metagenome. RNAcentral describes it as "bacterial LSU rRNA". It matches the Rfam family "Bacterial large subunit ribosomal RNA", at positions 1564 to 2808 of the family's 2925-position model. The record is from RNAcentral.